CAGUGGGGAAUAUUGGACAAUGGGCGAAAGCCUGAUCCAGCAAUGCCGCGUGUGUGAAGAAGGUCUUCGGAUUGUAAAGCACUUUCGACGGGGACGAUGAUGACGGUACCCGUAGAAGAAGCCCCGGCUAACUUCGUGCCAGCAGCCGCGGUAAUACGAAGGGGGCUAGCGUUGCUCGGAAUGACUGGGCGUAAAGGGCGCGUAGGCGGAUGGCACAGUCAGAUGUGAAAUUCCCGGGCUUAACCUGGGGGCUGCAUUUGAUACGUGUGAUCUAGAGUGAGGAAGAGGGUCGUGGAAUUCCCAGUGUAGAGGUGAAAUUCGUAGAUAUUGGGAAGAACACCGGUGGCGAAGGCGGCGACCUGGUCCUUGACUGACGCUGAGGCGCGAAAGCGUGGGGAGCAAACAGGAUUAGA
This 413-nucleotide ribosomal RNA is filed under the name uncultured bacterium. RNAcentral describes it as "bacterial SSU rRNA". It matches the Rfam family "Bacterial small subunit ribosomal RNA", at positions 352 to 782 of the family's 1533-position model. The record is from RNAcentral.